GACGAACGCUGGCGGCGUGCCUAAUACAUGCAAGUCGAGCGGACGAAGCGAAAACUGUCUUGUGGUUCGGUAGCGGCGGACGGGUGAGUAACACGUGGGCAACCUCGUCUGUAGACGGGGAUAACACGGAGAAAUAGUUGCGAAUACCGGAUAACACGAAAUGUGGCAUGACGUUUGGUUGAAAGACGGCGGAAGCUGUGGCUACAGGAUGGGCCCGUGGCGCAUUGGCUAGUUGGUGAGGUAACGGCUCACCAAGGCGACGAUGCGUAGCCGACCUGAGAGGGUGAUCGGCCACACUGGGACUGAGACACGGCCCAGACUCCUACGGGAGGCAGCAGUAGGGAAUCUUCCGCAAUGGACGCAAGUCUGACGGAGCAACGCCGCGUGCGGGAAGAAGGCCUUCGGGUCGUAAAGCUCUGUUGUUCGGGAAGAAAAAGUACCGCAGUAACUGGCGUUACCGUGACGGUACCUAACGAGAAAGCCACGGCUAACUACGUG
This 498-nucleotide ribosomal RNA is filed under the name uncultured bacterium. RNAcentral's name for it is "partial 16S ribosomal RNA". It matches the Rfam family "Bacterial small subunit ribosomal RNA", at positions 28 to 507 of the family's 1533-position model. The record is from RNAcentral.